UAUAUGAUAGUAUAAUAAUUACAACUUGUUUACACCAAGUAAAUCGUAUGGCACGUCAUAUUU
This 63-nucleotide transfer RNA is filed under the name Mytilisepta virgata. Its description in RNAcentral is "tRNA-Val". Lineage: Eukaryota; Metazoa; Mollusca; Bivalvia; Mytilida; Mytilidae. The record is from RNAcentral.